Tachyglossus aculeatus (Australian echidna) is the source of this 470-nucleotide non-coding RNA. NCBI's taxonomy places the organism in Eukaryota, Metazoa, Chordata, Mammalia, Monotremata, Tachyglossidae. The record is from the annotation of a RefSeq genome assembly.
GGACUCCACUCCGCUCUGCUCCCAGCACCAUGAUCUCCCCAGCCCACGUCUUCCUCCUUCUCACUGGACUCUCCUAUGUCCAGUCAGAGGUUGUCCUGACACAGUCCUCCUCCGUACUGGCCCAGCCUGGACAGUCUCACAAACUGCAGUGCACCGUCAGUGGAUUUGACCUGAGCAGCUACUACAUGAAUUGGAUCCGACAGGAGCCCGGGAAGGGGCUGGAGUGGCUGGUCAGUUACUAUACUUCAAGUAGCAAUUACUACAACCCAGCCAUCAAGGACCGAUUCACAGCCUCCAAGGACAGAUCCAAUCUCUACUUACAAAUUGACAGACUCACAGCUGCAGACACGGCCCUGUAUUACUGUGCGAGAGACACAGUGUGGUGUAGUGAACGUGAGCCCACACAAAAACCUUCCCCUGCAGGGGGUCAGAAGGAGGCUGGGCAGCAGGAGACAUUUAGGACCCACUGA